GCCCUGCUGGCGCAAUGGUAGCGCGUCAGACUUCUAUUAGAGUUCCUCUUGUAGCGAUCUGAAGGUUGCGGGUUCGAGCCCCGCGUGGGGUU
This 92-nucleotide transfer RNA is filed under the name Morchella conica CCBAS932. It matches the Rfam family "tRNA". Rfam says of the family: Transfer RNA (tRNA) molecules are approximately 80 nucleotides in length. Their secondary structure includes four short double-helical elements and three loops (D, anti-codon, and T loops). Further hydrogen bonds mediate the characteristic L-shaped molecular structure. tRNAs have two regions of fundamental functional importance: the anti-codon, which is responsible for specific mRNA codon recognition, and the 3' end, to which the tRNAs corresponding amino acid is attached (by aminoacyl-tRNA synthetases). tRNAs cope with the degeneracy of the genetic code in two manners: having more than one tRNA (with a specific anti-codon) for a particular amino acid; and 'wobble' base-pairing, i.e. permitting non-standard base-pairing at the 3rd anti-codon position. The record is from Rfam by way of RNAcentral. RNAcentral also lists the same sequence under 1 other name. Lineage: Eukaryota; Fungi; Ascomycota; Pezizomycetes; Pezizales; Morchellaceae.